GGUCAGCCAUCAACUCAAGAAUGCUGCUCGCUUGUCCAAGGUUUGGUUGACCUCGAGGCCGCAGUUUGUCUCUGCACUGCUCUUAGGGCUAACGUUCUUGGAAUCAACCUUAACGUUCCUAUAUCUCUCAGCGUUCUUCUCAACAAGUGUAACAAGAAGGUUCCAUCUGGUUUCGAAUGCACUUGAUUCAGUUUCCUCUUCAAAAUAUUUACUGUUUGAAUAAAUGCAUGCAAGCUAGAGAGUUUAAUGUUUAAAUGUUAUUUGUUUGUGAUAUAAUAAAUGUGUGAGAGUUUUGUAGUUUUUUUUUUUUUUUGCUGGUAAACGUUCCCCGUGGUGGUUGUAUGUUUUUGUAGCUAUCUAUUUCUAUUUUCACUCUGUAUAAUGCAUAUAUUAUUUAAUCAAUGUCUUAUUUUCAAGUACUCAUUUGGAUGGCUAUUACACAAUAUUGACAAAAUUCAUAUCAUAGAAUGCUUUUACUCUUUGGAGAGUUGAUUUCUACUGGAAAAAUUUUGAUCACUAUGAUAUUCGGCAACACAAUAUAAAUCUCGUUUAUAAAAACAAUCCUUAUUAGAUUGUGAUUAGUACUCAUCCUAAAAUCGUAUUGAAAAAUUAAACAAAGAUUAGUCCUUUCUCCAGAAUUGUGGUGUAGUUGAACAUUAUAGUUAUAUAUUGAUGUAGCGCCUCUGAUACCAAAUGUUGGAGUGAGAACUUUAAAAAGAUAGAAUAGUAAUCCGUUAAUUCUGAAAAUAUCCAAAAAAUAUGAUAAUUGCAAAAUUAUUUGUUUAGUCUAAGAAUCUCCGAAUAAAUCAAAUCUUUUAAGAUUCGUUGAAAUAUUUUUAGAUCUACCAAAAACAAGGAACAAAAAGACGAAAACUCAAUUCUAUUAAUUAAUCAAAAACUGAAUACAAGGUCUAAACGACUUAUUUAUACUAAAUUCAAAACACUAGAAAACUCUAAAACAAUAAAAGAAAAUUAUCUAAAUAAUUAAAGAUAUAAUUAAGAUAUUUGAGAUAUUUUCAAAUAUCUUUCUGCAACAUAUAUUCAGCUGAGAAUGAACAGUUCGGUAAUCACUUAUCAAUAAAGUCCGAUAAUUAGUUAAGACAUGUACAUUUUAAUCUUGUUUGUCCAAAGAAUUGCGGUUAAGGUUCAAUGAUGUAUAUGUGCUUUCAUUAUCUAUGACCGAGAGAUCUCGGCCGAGAAUAUAUGUGGUCAACUGGUCAUGAGUCUUUGAGGCCUUAACCGAAUUUUUUUUGUAGUUUGUACCAGAGUCAAUUAAGGUUAUGACUGAGAAGCAUUAUUUCUUGGCCGAAUGAAUGAUAACUUGUUUUUAAUUUUUUAUUGUUAAUUAUACGUAUAUAUCUCAUGAUUAGAAUUUUUAAGAAAACGUUAUUGUGUGUUUUUUUUUCAACAAUAUGCAUUAUAAUGAAUUUGAAUUAAUGGGAUGACGCAGUGAUAAAACGAACAGAAACCACUACAUUAUAUGUAAUGGCCAAUGCUUUAUUUUUAUAUUCAUAAAAAUGAAAAGUUCAUGUUCGGGUAGUAUGCCUCGUGUUGAUGUGAUUGAUUGUAAGUUUCAUUAAGCUCAAUGCCAGAAGUAAGUUGACGUAUGUGGGGAAACUAGAAAUUUGGAGCCAGUUUCGCUAAGAUAUUUACGAAUAUAGUCGCGAUUUGAAAAUAAUGAGUCAAAGAGAUCAAAGAUGGUUAACACUUCGUAUGUACUAAUAUAAUCUUGGGGUUUCAAUAGUUGAAUAUGUAAAUCGAAUAACAUAUACAGUAUAUAUAAUGCUUAGAAAGAUUAUGAUAAACAUGUCAAAAAUAGGACCUAAGAAUUUUGUGUUUUAUCUCAAUUUUUCUUAAUUAUUUAGUACUAUCUGCAAUAAACAAAAUAUAAUCAAAUUAAUAAAUAAUUUUAAAAUAUGAGUUCUCUAAUAGCUAAGUUUUAAAUAAAUGAAAACUACAAAACUGUUGACAGAAAAACAAUACAAAGCAACAUUAGUAACAUAGCUAUUAUGUAGGAAGGCCAUAUAUAACUAUAUACACAUUAAACAUAAAAGAACAUGCUAUUUAAAACUAUUUCGAAGACCAUACUUACCACCUUGGUGGAAAGAUAACUAUCUGAUAUAUCUGGAAUGAAAAUGAAAAUGAAGUUUACCCAUACGUGUGAGAUAAUUAAGGUAAAAAACUGGGAAAAAGAAGUAUCAAAUAGCUGCCCAAAAAGAAAAAAAUUAAAAUCUUUCAUACCCACUUGCUAAUUUUUCUUGAUCUUAGUUUCUCGUGACGAAAGUUCAAAAUAACAUUUCUUUUUUUUUUAACGUUUUUAACUAUCUUGUGGUCCUAGUUUCUUUGUAAAACAUAUUUCUUUGAGGGAAAAUAGUUUUAUUGACUUUAUGAAAGAGUAAACCAUUUGGACCCCAGAGCUUAAUUCAUACGAUAUGUCCAAAUAUUUAAACCUAUUGAGAUAUUUACGUAAAGCAUUGUAGAAGAAAACAAAAUUAUGGUCGACAAUGUCUACAUAGAAUGACGAAUUAACAGAAGACGAUCAUUAACCAUCAACGAGAUAUGGACUAGUAAGCUUGAGAUGUCCAAUUACUUGUUUUGGCCGAAGACAAACACGUCAUUUUGAAUUUAUUGUAAAAUAUGUAUCUAAGUUAUCUAAAUAUAUGAGUAUCAAAGAUAUGUAUCUAAAUAAGGAUUGGACUCCGAGUUCGUAAUAUUUUGACUUUAUUGUAAAAUAGAGACACAAGUUGAUAUAACCAGAAUGCGAGACACGAGAUGAUGUGUGGUUUACAAUUUUAUAAACACUUUUAAAAAAAAAUGAAUGUAACAUUAAUUCAAAUCCAAAAAAAUCGUUCUACAAAUGAAUGUGUCCUUUUGUUCGAAGAAAGAGAAAUAUUUUUACAUUAAUAUUGUCAUUAGGAUCUUAGGAUGGCCGAAAACCAAACUAUAUAACUAUUUCCUCAUCGUAUGUGGUAUUACCUGCAUUCUGAAUAGAUCAGAUAAGGUUCUCAGUUCUCACAUUCUUAUUUUUAGAAACAUCUUAUUUUUUAUAUGAAUCACUUAAUAAUUUUUUGAAUUAUAACCAGGUUUACUUUUUUUGUCAACUUUGAUAUUUAAUUUUGAAUUAAACAAAAGAUUUAGUAAACCAAACUGGAGUAGCAAAAUUUACAUAUAAAAAGUAGCAUUAUAAGUCAAACAAUAAACAUUACCAUUUAUAUUGCGUGAUAUAUAGAAGUAUAAAUGCCAAUUUAGAGAAUUACGAUUUAUUAAAUUCUAAGAUCAAUUAUCUGGUCAAUAGUGUUCGUAUGCUAGAACUCUGAAUUAUGAAUUCCGAAUAUGCUUGGCUUGGCUUGGCUUGCCAAUGCCAAUCCGAGUUAUUUAUUUUUUUAAAUUAAAGUUGACAAAAAAUUGAAAAAACGAACCUAUCCAAACCAAAUAAUUGACUUGAUGAUAGUUGGUCUAACCAGACCAGGUUGUUGUUUUUUUUAAACACGGAAAUUAUAUCCUGACCAUAAAUUGUCAUAUCCUGGAACAUUGUCCGGUCCGAUGGACUUCACCAAACAUUUCAAAGCAAAUUUUUGACCAUGUGAAUUUGUAAUGGACUAAUUACAAAAGAUCACAAAAAAUAUUUUUCCAAAUGUUGGAACUACUCUGCACGUCUCUCAGUGACAUUUAUAGUGAGUUUCAAUAAAACCUAAGGAUCCUCUUGAAAAUAUAACAAAACUCAUUACAAAAAAAAAAGAAUAUAUCAUCUUCCAUAUGCCUAUAUCUCCGAAGUGUCUGAUAAACAGAAAACUCAAAUCGAAAGAAGGCUUGUUCAUUGUCGAGAGAUGAUCUCUGGUGCAUGGGAGAAGCGCAGCCCAGGUUCUUCCAAAUGUAUCCCUAAUUUUAAGCUAAUGCACGAACCUGAUUUAAGUGAACAAAAAUCUAUCAUUUAUGUUCAGUUAUGAUUUUCGAAUUGUUCUACGUACGUUUUAGGUUUUUGACCCCAAGAAAAAAAAAGAAAAGAAUUUAUCAUAUAUAGAGGUAUCAACCAAAUUAGACACAUCUGUUUUGAGAAUUAAAAAAAAAACUAUGUAACAAUCUAGUUUGUAGUUUUAUGAAAUCUAAUUUGUAUUUUUUUGUCUUUUUUGUUUUUCAGUAAAAAUAUCUGAGGAGAUUAUUCGAUGCCAGUAACUCAACUGGUAUAACACUUGGUUACCCAAAAAAGAGUUGAGAAGAUCUCAGGUUAGAAAUGAGUGAUUAAUUUAACUUGAUCUACUCUUUCAACCCGGAGAGAUUAUAGAAGUAUAGAACUAAGGUCCAAGCUUCUUGGUUAAAAAGACAAAAAAAUUAAUCCAAAAAAUAUAAUUAGAUAAAUAAGUAAUCUGAAUAAUACAUAAUACAAGGGCAGAGGACUUCCAGCAAAUUUUGUACUAGAUUAUAUUGUCUGUCCUAUUAAGGAUGUUUACAAAAAAAAUACAAAGCGUGUCCUAUUUAGGAUGUUAACGUUGCCUAUCUAGUACGUUUCCUAAAAGUAGUACGUGGUAUCAGCUCUACUUAUGGAAAUACGGCUCAACUUUCUGCGGACGACAACGUAUAAAAGUGUCUGGCUUCUUGGAAUCGGUAGUUUUAGAUUUGAUGUGAUAAAGAUAUGUCAAUUAGGAACGGAUCCCAAUCAUGUUAAAUUUUCUGAUUUAGGGUAUGAUUGGUAACACUGCAGAAUUGCAGAAUUACAAAAAAUAAUCUUGCGGGAUAAAAUAAUCUCGUUCAAACUUGCUUUUUUGCAUAAUGAUUUUUUGUUUUUGUAUUUUUGUAAGUAAAAACACAAGAUUUUUUUUUAUUCUGCAGAUAUUUGUUGAUUGGCAAAAUAUUUGUAUAAUCAUGUUUAAGAACAUAAUUUUACUAUUUCACAGAUUACCAAUCAGAGUCUAAUGUUGAGAGAUCAACUGAUCUGUAAUGUUGGUUGGGCUCAAUCGGUCAAUUUUUAACCUAGAAUUUUGAAGUCUACGUGUUUUUUUGGUAUAUUUUUUUCUAUGUUUCAUGAAUUUUUAGUUGUACUCAGUUUAAUAACACUAAAAUGUUUUAUACAAAAAUCAAUAGGAAGAAAAGAGAAUUGCAUAUAUUUUUCACGACCUUUGUCGGUUACUUUUUGGUAAUUUUUUUUGUUUGGUUAUCUAGUGAAGGUGGUGAUAAUAACAUUAACGACAACUUGACAAUAAUACUGCAUAUAAUAUGAAUUAAGAAAUCAAACAUUCCUUUUAAUUAUAUAUAAAAAAAGACAUUCCAAAUUAUUUCGAGGUUCGGUUCUACGUAUCUACACAAAGAGAACAAAAAAAGGAUUCAGAGUUUGUAUAUGUAGAUAAACACAGAUAAAAGACCGGAUAUUUUGUUAGAAUGAAAAAAUAUAUAAUUAUUUAUACUACAACAAGUUGGUCCUCUUCACAUCCUUGUAAAACCCUAUAAAAUACCAACACCUUCCCUUCAUUUCUAUCCAUCUCUCUCUCGCUCAAACACAGUCAAUAAUCCUUACUAAACUGAAUCUAUCUUUUGAAAUAAGAUGGCUUCAAAGAACUCAGCCUCACUUGCUCUUUUCUUUGCACUCAACAUCCUCUUUUUCACCUUAACCGCUGCAACUGAUUGCUGCAGUCCUAAGCCGAAGCCCAAACCUAGUCCUAAGCCUAAGCCGGUCUCAUGUCCUCCGCCCCCCAAGCAUGUCCCAAGUCCAUCGGUCCCAAGUCCUAACCCUAGGCCUGUCCCACCUCCUAGCACCCCUGGCUCAUCCCAAAACUGUCCUAUAGAUGUCCUCAAGCUCGGUGUAUGUGCAAAUGUCCUAAGCGGCCUACUCAACAUACAGUUGGGUCAGCCAUCAACUCAAGAAUGCUGCUCGCUUGUCCAAGGUUUAGUUGACCUCGAGGCCGCUGUUUGUCUCUGCACUGCCCUUAGGGCUAACGUUCUCGGAAUCAACCUUAACGUUCCUAUAUCUCUCAGCGUUCUUCUCAACAAGUGUAACAAGAAGGUUCCAUCUGGUUUCGAAUGCACUUGAAUCAGCUAUGCACACGACGCCGCACACAG
RNAcentral lists this long non-coding RNA (6051 nucleotides) under Eutrema salsugineum. RNAcentral's name for it is "long non-coding RNA (ESAL_LNC000831)". Lineage: Eukaryota; Viridiplantae; Streptophyta; Magnoliopsida; Brassicales; Brassicaceae. The record is from RNAcentral.